This 253-nucleotide ribosomal RNA is filed under the name uncultured bacterium. RNAcentral's name for it is "partial 16S ribosomal RNA". It matches the Rfam family "Bacterial small subunit ribosomal RNA", at positions 524 to 776 of the family's 1533-position model. The record is from RNAcentral.
UACGUAGGGUGCAAGCGUUAAUCGGAAUUACUGGGAGUAAAGCGUGCGCAGGCGGCUUUGCAAGACAGAUGUGAAAUCCCCGGGCUUAACCUGGGAACUGCAUUUGUGACUGCAUGGCUGGAGUGCGGCAGAGGGGGAUGGAAUUCCGCGUGUAGCAGUGAAAUGCGUAGAUAUGCGGAGGAACACCGAUGGCGAAGGCAAUCCCCUGGGCCUGCACUGACGCUCAUGCACGAAAGCGUGGGGAGCAAACAGG